UCACUUUAGUCUAACAGCUUCAAAUUUAAUUAACUGCUGAUUGUUCCUGAAGAUAUGCUAAGAGAUCAAGAUUCCAAAAAAAUCCAAAGAACGGGGUUUACAGAAGAAGACUGAGUAUUGUCUGACCUCAAGCUUACGGGAUGCCAGAACAGAACAAGAUUACUGAGAAUGCAACUGAAUUUUAGAGACUACCAGUCACCAAGUAAGUUGCUCAGGCACUACUGAGAUUAUCCCGAUAACAUUUGGAUGUUCAGGAGGGUCUUGGUUAGCACCAGUGCCUAUCCCUGCUUCUGCUGAGGAUUUU
Long non-coding RNA from Homo sapiens (human), 304 nucleotides. RefSeq lists it as uncharacterized. NCBI's taxonomy places the organism in Eukaryota, Metazoa, Chordata, Mammalia, Primates, Hominidae. The transcript is spliced from 3 exons. The record is from RefSeq and is a predicted model, not a curated record.